Long non-coding RNA from Hyaena hyaena (striped hyena), 947 nucleotides. RefSeq lists it as uncharacterized. The transcript is spliced from 7 exons. Lineage: Eukaryota; Metazoa; Chordata; Mammalia; Carnivora; Hyaenidae. The record is from RefSeq and is a predicted model, not a curated record.
GCUACUAAUUACCAGCAGCUCAUGAAACCUCUGUUCAUUUUUUGUUUUUAACCUUUUUACAAUGUUUAGACUCAGCAUAGGAAUAUAAACAAAAAUUCAGAGGACAUAUGCCUAGAGUAUUAACAGAUCAAAAAGGUCAUGUGUAGAAAGAACAAAACGAUUCAGUUUCUAAACAUUUGUGGAUCUCAAGCAAUGCCCAGACUGUGGAAACUUCAUCCAUGCCAACGUUCCUGGGGGUGGUGUCCACUGUCAUAAUCUGUAGGAAAAGCAGUGUGUUGUAGGAUGAAUGAUACUCAUCCACAUGAUGGUGACAUUUAAUGGCCCUGGUCUUUGCAACCCUGGGAAACAUGGCAACAAACUGAACAAGCACGAGAACAGCUGCAGCAGGCACAGCUCACCUUCAGACCCCAGAACAAGACUCAGAUCUGGGAGAGGGAGAUGGUGGAGCAGAGCAGGGAGGUCUCCUACUUGAAACACAGAACUAGAUGGGAUGAAAGGAAAGAGGCUUCCUGAGGGACGCACAAGGCAGAAACCAGUGCCUAGAAGGCCAGAGACGCAGGCCCCCCGAGGAGAGGCAAGGAGCACAUGGGCCUUUAGCAGAUCCAGAAACUGGUGUGACCUCUGUGAGUUACAGCAGCUCUGACUCUACCAAGAAUGCAGACAAAGACAAGGGCACACUCUUAUCCUGGGAGCCCACAGCCUUCGCUAUUUUCAGCCUGUCGUCUUUGUAUGAUGCACAUAGCUGUCACUUCUGUGCUGCAGGGCAGUGUGGCUCUAUGGGGACCUCCUCCAUUAACUGGAACAUUCUGCAUGCCCUACCCUGGAGGCCUACUAAUGGGCUUCUGGGCACAUCCAUCUCCUGAACCUUGGUGGCCCUGAAGACCACCCUGAGCCCCUUGAUCUACAACACUUGGUAAGAUGAUCUGGGCAGUAGGAGUUGACUUGCA